AUUGAACGCUGGCGGUAUGCUUAACAUAUGCAAGUCGAACGGCAGCACGGUAUGUAGCAAUACAUAUGGGUGGCAAGUGGCGGACGGGUGAGUAACGCGUAGGAAUCUGCCCUCAAGCGGGGGACAACCCGAGGAAACUCGGGCUAAUACCGCAUAAACUCGGAAGAGAAAAGCUGGGGUAACCUGGCACUUGGGGAGGAGCCUGCGUCUGAUUAGCUAGUUGGUAGGGUAAAGGCCUACCAAGGCGAUGAUCAGUAGCUGGGCUGUGAGGAUUACCAGCCACACUGGAACAGAGACAAGGUCCAGACUCCUACGGGAGGCAGCAGUGGGGAAUAUUGGACAAUGAGGGAAACCCUGAUCCAGCAAUACCGCGUGUGUGAAGAAGGCCUUCGGGUUGUAAAGCACUUUAGUUGGGGAGGAAGGCUAGCAGUUUAAGAGAUGGCUAAUGUGACUGUACCCAAAGAAUAAGCACCGGCUAACUCUGUGCCAGCCGCCGCGGUAA
RNAcentral lists this ribosomal RNA (502 nucleotides) under uncultured bacterium. RNAcentral describes it as "partial 16S ribosomal RNA". It matches the Rfam family "Bacterial small subunit ribosomal RNA", at positions 30 to 523 of the family's 1533-position model. The record is from RNAcentral.